This 496-nucleotide ribosomal RNA is filed under the name uncultured bacterium. RNAcentral's name for it is "partial 16S ribosomal RNA". It matches the Rfam family "Bacterial small subunit ribosomal RNA", at positions 29 to 507 of the family's 1533-position model. The record is from RNAcentral.
AUGAACGCUGGCGGCGUGCCUAAUACAUGCAAGUCGAGCGAACAGACGAGGAGCUUGCUCCUCUGACGUUAGCGGCGGACGGGUGAGUAACACGUGGAUAACCUACCUAUAAGACUGGGAUAACUUCGGGAAACCGGAGCUAAUACCGGAUAAUAUAUUGAACCGCAUGGUUCAAUAGUGAAAGACGGUUUUGCUGUCACUUAUAGAUGGAUCCGCGCCGCAUUAGCUAGUUGGUAAGGUAACGGCUUACCAAGGCGACGAUGCGUAGCCGACCUGAGAGGGUGAUCGGCCACACUGGAACUGAGACACGGUCCAGACUCCUACGGGAGGCAGCAGUAGGGAAUCUUCCGCAAUGGGCGAAAGCCUGACAGAGCAACGCCGCGUGAGUGAUGAAGGUCUUCGGAUCGUAAAACUCUGUUAUUAGGGAAGAACAAAUGUGUAAGUAACUAUGCACGUCUUGACGGUACCUAAUCAGAAAGCCACGGCUAACUACGUG